UCUCCCAUCGUCUAGAGGCCAAGGACCCCGGGUUUUCAGUCCGGUAACGCGAGUUCAAAUCUCGCUGGGAGAACCA
Molecule: transfer RNA, 76 nt
Filed under: Erwinia phage pEa_SNUABM_11
Lineage: Duplodnaviria; Heunggongvirae; Uroviricota; Caudoviricetes; Chimalliviridae
Description: tRNA-Glu
Rfam family: tRNA
About the family: Transfer RNA (tRNA) molecules are approximately 80 nucleotides in length. Their secondary structure includes four short double-helical elements and three loops (D, anti-codon, and T loops). Further hydrogen bonds mediate the characteristic L-shaped molecular structure. tRNAs have two regions of fundamental functional importance: the anti-codon, which is responsible for specific mRNA codon recognition, and the 3' end, to which the tRNAs corresponding amino acid is attached (by aminoacyl-tRNA synthetases). tRNAs cope with the degeneracy of the genetic code in two manners: having more than one tRNA (with a specific anti-codon) for a particular amino acid; and 'wobble' base-pairing, i.e. permitting non-standard base-pairing at the 3rd anti-codon position.
Source: RNAcentral